ACAGGAGAGGCAAUUUUACAUCACCUGUAGUAGCAACAAGUGAGCACACUCACAUCAGGAGAGAAGAGGUACAGCAGUCCAUCAGUAGCUCCAGGCAGAGUGAGGGCACGAAUCAGGAAGAUGGUGAGCACCAGGUGAACUGACCUUUCCCAUGGACUCGAUGCCUUUGAUGAAACAUAUGUAGACUAUGCACCAGGCGCUGGCCAGACAGAUCACCAUCCACCACUGCAGGGAGCCGCUGGUGUCGAUGUCAGGUCACGUACCGAGCCCACCCAGCAGUGGUGAGAUGGAGUUCCAGACACCUAUGCUGCCCAUGCGGAGUCUCUGUCCUAUAGCCAGCUCCAGGUAGAGCAGGGGGAGGCCCUCAAACACUAAAGCUAUCAGCCAACAAAGAUCAGUCGACAUAAUGCAUACACAGGCACUGCCAGGCUGGGGACUCCGGCCAAAAGAAAUAUGACUGCACUUAUCCAUGAAGGGUACGGUAUUGAUGCCAGCGAUGGAAACCCCUCCUGUAAACCACAGAACAGUAUGAUUACUGACAAAUAUCAACUGUCAACUGGCACUGGGUCUGUCAAGCUUUGGAUUUCCCUACAUGUGGAGUGUAUGUUGCUGCUGGAAGAGAAAAAAAGUUGACAAGGACGCCAGAUACCCGGUUUUGCUCCAGAGCCUACUCUACUUACCAAUACCAGUCAGAUAAGGGCUGAUGGCCCUCCACACUCCCACGCUGCCUUUCCUGAGACGCUGGCCGAUGGCAAACUCCAUCAGCAGAAGAGGCAUUCCCUCCAACACCAGCAGGAUCAGCAUUUGCUCUGGAUGAACUUGAAGAGGGCGGUAACUGGGAUGGCUAAACUGGGAACUCCAGCCAAGAUGAAGAUGAUGACGUAGAUCCAGGAGGGAUAUGGACGCGGUUCAAGGGUGGGGAAGCUCGCCUAUA
Molecule: long non-coding RNA, 934 nt
Organism: Seriola aureovittata
Lineage: Eukaryota; Metazoa; Chordata; Actinopteri; Carangiformes; Carangidae
Exons: 7
Source: RefSeq, a predicted model, not a curated record